UACGGGGGGGGCAAGCGUUGUUCGGAAUUACUGGGCGUAAAGGGCUCGUAGGCGGCCAACUAAGUCAUACGUGAAAUCCCUCGGCUUAACCGGGGAACUGCGUCUGAUACUGGAUGGCUUGAGUUCGGGAGAGGGAUGCGGAAUUCCAGGUGUAGCGGUGAAAUGUGUAGAGAUCGGGAGGAACACCGGUGGCGAAGGCGGGUCUCUGGGCCGUAACUGACGCUGAGGAGCGAAAGCAUGGGGAGCGAACAGG
RNAcentral lists this ribosomal RNA (253 nucleotides) under uncultured bacterium. RNAcentral describes it as "partial 16S ribosomal RNA". It matches the Rfam family "Bacterial small subunit ribosomal RNA", at positions 524 to 776 of the family's 1533-position model. The record is from RNAcentral.